This 1519-nucleotide long non-coding RNA is filed under the name Capra hircus (goat). Its description in RNAcentral is "lncRNA (ENSCHIG00010005828.1)". The record is from RNAcentral. Lineage: Eukaryota; Metazoa; Chordata; Mammalia; Artiodactyla; Bovidae.
UAUUACCUUUGAUUUAUGGUGUUGAAAAACAUAUUCAACCUAAUUUAUGCAGGAAUUAACUUUGGUAGAGAUUAAUUUUGGAUCUAUGGCCCCUUUCUAAAAUAUAUCAUCUCUAUUCAUAAUCUUGGCUUGCAGACAGAGAUGGUAGUGAGGAAAAGGAAAAAAAAACCAAAACCUUCCAGAAGGGAAAUACUUUUAAGUCCUUAAAUGAGGAUAACAGAAUGUUUUUAAAAUUAGGAUCCCUUGCAGUUCACAGCCAGAAUUUAGAAUGAACCAAACAGUGUUUUCCACUGAGUUUGGACAUUUGGUAGAGCAUUUUACAUGAACAUACAUAAAAUAGAAGGAAAUAAAAAACAGGACUGUGGCAUACAUUAAUGCUUAAUAAUAAGUCAUUAAUAACUCUGAACUAUUUAACCGGAAUUACUCUUCUAUUAUCUGUGUCGUAUCUUAUAGACUCCUGAGCGCAUGUGUGUCUGAGUGUGUGUCUUGGAAGAGAAAAAGGAUAGGAAGGAGAGGGAAAGAAAUCAAAGGGAAAAUUUUUAAAUCAAAGAGAAGUACAAAAUAUAGCUCCGAGCCUCGGGACAGUCAAGGGGAAAAGGCUACGAUGAAUGCCAUGCCUGACACUAGAAGCAUGUUAGUUUGCCAAGAGGAAUUAAUUUUCAGCAAGUCGCCUUUGUUUUAGAAAACAAACAACAUAGCAGACAGUGUCUCUUUUGCUUUACUUUUCUUAGACCCCAGCUCUCUCUACCGUUUCACACCUCACUGGCUGAGGUGAGUCACUCACCGACAUUACCUGCCUGGCCCCAGUCCGCACUUGUGCUUGUGACCCCUCGUCCUGAGGCUGCUGUUCGAAGCUCAUCACGCCUCUUCCUGUGGAAGCCGCGGGCCAGAGAGCCACCCGGUGAGUAGAGGGGGAGACAAAGGGAGUCGCCCCCCACCCUUCCUACGCCAGGGGGCACCUUGUCUCCGCAGCUGCUGGUGCUUCUCUCCUGAGUCCCCUGUGCUGUCGUCCCCGCCUCCAGCCAGCACCCACACAUCCAGGCCCUCGCCGCUUACGGGAUGGUGUCCCACGGGAGAGUGUCCCACGGGAGAGUGUCCCACGGGAGAGUGUCUGGGGAGAGGGCCCCCAGAGAGCCUCCCUCAUCGGGGGGGCUGUGUCUAUUAGUUUUCACUUAUACGGGAAUGCAGGGGCAUUCCCCUUGACUAUGUGUCUUAUUGGACCAAAACAGAGAGUAUAUAAUAUUAAGCCAUUGUCCUGGAGAUUAUCUGACCGAGGGAGUGAUUCCGGUUGGCUUCAAGACUGUGUCCUUGGCAGUGACAUGCUUUAGUUCUGAAAGGGAAAACAAAUCUCUCUCCUCUACCAGCCUGCCACAAAAAGCACUGUGCAAAGCUUAGUCAAGUGCGCAAAUCUCUACUGUGAACUUUCCUACCAUAUCUGGGGGAAUUACUGGGCCUUGAAAGCUCCCACCAACAGAUAAGAAGAAAGGUUGUAAGAUGAUUUGACACACAGUUUUGAAGG